CUACGGGAGGCACCAGGCGAGAAAACUUUGCAAUGUGCGAAAGCACGACAAGGUUAAUCCGAGUGGUUUGUGCUAAACGAACCUUUUGACAGUCCUAGAAACACUGUUGAAUAAGGGGUGGGCAAGUUCUGGUGUCAGCCGCCGCGGUAAAACCAGCACCUCAAGUGGUCAGGAUGAUUAUUGGGCCUAAAGCAUCCGUAGCCGGCUCUGUAAGUUUUCGGUUAAAUCUGUACGCUCAACGUACAGGCUGCCGGGAAUACUGCAGAGCUAGGGAGUGGGAGAGGUAGACGGUACUUGGUAGGAAGGGGUAAAAUCCUUUGAUCUAUUGAUGACCACCUGUGGCGAAGGCGGUCUACCAGAACACGUCCGACGGUGAGGGAUGAAAGCUGGGGGAGCAAACCGGAUUAGAUACCCGCGUAGUC
This 422-nucleotide ribosomal RNA is filed under the name uncultured archaeon. RNAcentral describes it as "partial 16S ribosomal RNA". It matches the Rfam family "Archaeal small subunit ribosomal RNA", at positions 323 to 746 of the family's 1478-position model. The record is from RNAcentral.